UUUCCGUUGGUGAACCAGCGGAAGGAUCAUUACAGAGAUCGUGCCCGUCGGGGUAGACCUCCCACCCUGUGUUAUUUACGUAUGUUGCUUUGGCGGGCCGCCUCCGGGCUCUCGGCUUCGGCCGAGGUGUGCCCGCCAGAGAACCCACAACCCUGUGUUUAGUGUCGUCUGAGUAUUAUCAAAUAAGUUAAAACUUUCAACAACGGAUCUCUUGGUUCUG
This 220-nucleotide unclassified non-coding RNA is filed under the name plant metagenome. RNAcentral describes it as "partial contains small subunit ribosomal RNA, internal transcribed spacer 1, and 5.8S ribosomal RNA". The record is from RNAcentral.